GAGUUUGAUCAUGGCUCAGAUUGAACGCUGGCGGCAGGCCUAACACAUGCAAGUCGAGCGGUAACAGAGAGUAGCUUGCUACUCUGCUGACGAGCGGCGGACGGGUGAGUAAUGCUUGGGAAUGUACCUUAUGGUGGGGGACAACAGUUGGAAACGACUGCUAAUACCGCAUAAUGUCUUCGGACCAAAGCGGGGGACCUUCGGGCCUCGCGCCAUAAGAUCAGCCCAAGUGGGAUUAGCUAGUUGGUGAGGUAAUGGCUCACCAAGGCGACGAUCCCUAGCUGGUUUGAGAGGAUGAUCAGCCACACUGGGACUGAGACACGGCCCAGACUCCUACGGGAGGCAGCAGUGGGGAAUAUUGCACAAUGGGCGCAAGCCUGAUGCAGCCAUGCCGCGUGUGUGAAGAAGGCCUUCGGGUUGUAAAGCACUUUCAGUAAGGAGGAAAGGUUGGAUGUUAAUAGCAUUCAGCUGUGACGUUACUUACAGAAGAAGCACCGGCUAACUCCGUGCCAGCAGCCGCGGUAAUACGGAGGGUGCGAGCGUUAAUCGGAAUUACUGGGCGUAAAGCGUACGCAGGCGGUUUGUUAAGCGAGAUGUGAAAGCCCCGGGCUCAACCUGGGAACUGCAUUUCGAACUGGCAAACUAGAGUGUGAUAGAGGGUGGUAGAAUUUCAGGUGUAGCGGUGAAAUGCGUAGAGAUCUGAAGGAAUACCGAUGGCGAAGGCAGCCACCUGGGUCAACACUGACGCUCAUGUACGAAAGCGUGGGGAGCAAACAGGAUUAGAUACCCUAGUAGUCCACGCCGUAAACGAUGUCUACUAGAAGCUCGGUUCCUCGGAACUGUUUUUCAAAGCUAACGCAUUAAGUAGACCGCCUGGGGAGUAC
This 884-nucleotide ribosomal RNA is filed under the name uncultured Gammaproteobacteria bacterium. RNAcentral's name for it is "bacterial SSU rRNA". It matches the Rfam family "Bacterial small subunit ribosomal RNA", at positions 9 to 883 of the family's 1533-position model. Lineage: Bacteria; Pseudomonadati; Pseudomonadota; Gammaproteobacteria. The record is from RNAcentral.